Molecule: transfer RNA, 87 nt
Filed under: Clostridia bacterium
Lineage: Bacteria; Bacillati; Bacillota; Clostridia
Description: tRNA-Leu
Rfam family: tRNA
About the family: Transfer RNA (tRNA) molecules are approximately 80 nucleotides in length. Their secondary structure includes four short double-helical elements and three loops (D, anti-codon, and T loops). Further hydrogen bonds mediate the characteristic L-shaped molecular structure. tRNAs have two regions of fundamental functional importance: the anti-codon, which is responsible for specific mRNA codon recognition, and the 3' end, to which the tRNAs corresponding amino acid is attached (by aminoacyl-tRNA synthetases). tRNAs cope with the degeneracy of the genetic code in two manners: having more than one tRNA (with a specific anti-codon) for a particular amino acid; and 'wobble' base-pairing, i.e. permitting non-standard base-pairing at the 3rd anti-codon position.
Source: RNAcentral
GCCGCUGUGGUGAAAUUGGCAGACGCAACGGACUCAAAAUCCGUCGGGGGCGACCCCGUGCCGGUUCGACUCCGGCCAGCGGCACCA